This 254-nucleotide ribosomal RNA is filed under the name uncultured bacterium. Its description in RNAcentral is "partial 16S ribosomal RNA". It matches the Rfam family "Bacterial small subunit ribosomal RNA", at positions 524 to 776 of the family's 1533-position model. The record is from RNAcentral.
UACGUAGGGGGCAAGCGUUGUCCGGAUUUACUGGGCGUAAAGGGCGCGUAGGCGGUCAGCACAAGUCAGUUGUGAAAUCUCCGGGCUUAACUCGGAAAGGUCAACUGAUACUGUGCGACUAGAGUGCAGAAGGGGCAACUGGAAUUCUCGGUGUAGCGGUGAAAUGCGUAGAUAUCGAGAGGAACACCUGCGGCGAAGGCGGGUUGCUGGGCUGACACUGACGCUGAUGCGCGAAAGCCAGGGGAGCGAUCGGG